Molecule: ribosomal RNA, 253 nt
Filed under: uncultured bacterium
Lineage: Bacteria
Description: partial 16S ribosomal RNA
Rfam family: Bacterial small subunit ribosomal RNA
Source: RNAcentral
UACGGAGGGUGCAAGCGUUGUCCGGAAUUAUUGGGCGUAAAGCGCUCGUAGGCGGUUUGUCGCGUCGAAUGUGAAAACCCGGGGCUCAACCCCGGGCCUGCAUUCGAUACGGGCAGACUAGAGUUCGGUAGGGGAGUCUGGAAUUCCUGGUGUAGCGGUGGAAUGCGCAGAUAUCAGGAGGAACACCGAUGGCGAAGGCAGGUCUCUGGGCAUUAACUGACGCUGAGGAGCGAAAGCGUGGGGAGCGAACAGG